AUUGAACGCUGGCGGAAUGCUUUACACAUGCAAGUCGAGCGGCAGCGCGGGGCAACCUGGCGGCGAGCGGCGAACGGGUGAGUAAUACAUCGGAACGUGCCCAGACGUGGGGGAUAACUACUCGAAAGAGUGGCUAAUACCGCAUACGAUCUAAGGAUGAAAGCGGGGGAUCGCAAGACCUCGCGCGUUUGGAGCGGCCGAUGGCAGAUUAGGUAGUUGGUGGGGUAAAGGCUUACCAAGCCCGCGAUCUGUAGCUGGUCUGAGAGGAUGAUCAGCCACACUGGGACUGAGACACGGCCCAGACUCCUACGGGAGGCAGCAGUGGGGAAUUUUGGACAAUGGGCGCAAGCCUGAUCCAGCCAUGCCGCGUGCAGGAUGAAGGCCUUCGGGUUGUAAACUGCUUUUGUACGGAACGAAAAGACUCUUUCUAAUAAAGAGGGUCCAUGACGGUACCGUAAGAAUAAGCACCGGCUAACUACGUG
RNAcentral lists this ribosomal RNA (482 nucleotides) under uncultured bacterium. RNAcentral describes it as "bacterial SSU rRNA". It matches the Rfam family "Bacterial small subunit ribosomal RNA", at positions 30 to 507 of the family's 1533-position model. The record is from RNAcentral.